This 94-nucleotide transfer RNA is filed under the name Virgisporangium ochraceum. Its description in RNAcentral is "tRNA-Gly". The record is from RNAcentral. Lineage: Bacteria; Bacillati; Actinomycetota; Actinomycetes; Micromonosporales; Micromonosporaceae.
CGCGUACGAGGGCGUCGGCGAGCCGCACGCCUACCAGGCGGGCGACUUCACGGUGGUGGAGGUGCCGUUGCUGUUCGAGGCGGGGGAGGCGACC